GACGAACGCUGGCGGCGUGCUUAACACAUGCAAGUCGAACGGUAAGGCCCUUCGGGGUACACGAGUGGCGAACGGGUGAGUAACACGUGGGUGAUCUGCCCUGCACUUCGGGAUAAGCCUGGGAAACUGGGUCUAAUACCGGAUAGGACUCCGGACUGCAUGGUCUGGGGUGGAAAGCUUUUGCGGCGUGGGAUGGGCCCGCGGCCUAUCAGCUUGUUGGUGGGGUGAUGGCCUACCAAGGCGACGACAGGUAGCCGGCCUGAGAGGGUGACCGGCCACACUGGGACUGAGAUACGGCCCAGACUCCUACGGGAGGCAGCAGUGGGGAAUAUUGCACAAUGGGCGCAAGCCUGAUGCAGCGACGCCGCGUGAGGGAUGACGGCCUUCGGGUUGUAAACCUCUUUCAGCAUCGACGAAGCGAAAGUGACGGUAGGUGCAGAAGAAGGACCGGCCAACUACGUGCCAGCAGCCGCAGUAA
This 478-nucleotide ribosomal RNA is filed under the name uncultured bacterium. RNAcentral's name for it is "partial 16S ribosomal RNA". It matches the Rfam family "Bacterial small subunit ribosomal RNA", at positions 28 to 523 of the family's 1533-position model. The record is from RNAcentral.